UACGUAGGGUGCAAGCGUUGUCCGGAAUUAUUGGGCGUAAAGAGCUCGUAGGCGGUUUGUCGCGUCUGCUGUGAAAACGCGAGGCUCAACCUCGCGCCUGCAGUGGGUACGGGCAGACUAGAGUGCGGUAGGGGAGAUUGGAAUUCCUGGUGUAGCGGUGGAAUGCGCAGAUAUCAGGAGGAACACCGGUGGCGAAGGCGGGUCUCUGGGCCGAAACUGACGCUGAGGAGCGAAAGCGUGGGGAGCGAACAGG
Molecule: ribosomal RNA, 253 nt
Filed under: uncultured bacterium
Lineage: Bacteria
Description: partial 16S ribosomal RNA
Rfam family: Bacterial small subunit ribosomal RNA
Source: RNAcentral